GUGUUGAUCAGUGGCUGUCCAGACCUUUCAGAGCCACUCACACACCAGCAGCACAAUGAUGAUGUCACUGACUCUACUGCUGGCCACCCUGGGGCUCCUUGUUCAGGGUUCAUCAGCAGAAAUCAUCCUGACUCAGACUCCUAAAGCUCAGUCUGUUGUUCCUGGACAGACUGUCUCUAUCAGAUGUAAAUCCAGUACAACUAUCGGUGAUGACAUUAACUGGUACCUUCAGAAAUCUGGAAAAGCUCCUAAACUCCUGAUAGCUGAUACUACAUAUCAUCAGUCUGGAGUUCCAGAUCGCCUUCGGGCAACAAACCUAACAACUGACUUCACUCUGAUCAUCAGUGAAGUUCAGGCUGAAGAUGCAGGAGUUUAUUACUGUCAGCAGGUCAACAGCUACCCGCUCACACAGUGA
Non-coding RNA from Oreochromis aureus, 415 nucleotides. Lineage: Eukaryota; Metazoa; Chordata; Actinopteri; Cichliformes; Cichlidae. The record is from the annotation of a RefSeq genome assembly.